Non-coding RNA from Ilex paraguariensis (yerba mate), 115 nucleotides. The record is from the annotation of a GenBank genome assembly. Lineage: Eukaryota; Viridiplantae; Streptophyta; Magnoliopsida; Aquifoliales; Aquifoliaceae.
GCGAUCAUACCAACACUAAUGCACUAGAUUAUAUCAGAACUCCGCAGUUAAGCGUACUUGGGCGAGAAUAGUACUAGAAUGGGUGACCCCCCGGAAAGUCCUCUUGUUGCACCCC